GAACAGGAGCUCCGGGUUCUGGUGCAGAUGGCGCCGCCAUUCGGUCACUUCGUUCUUGAGCUCGGCGGCACGGUUUAGAAUCGGCAUUGUUCGUUCCUGUCGAUCUGUUCGUUCACUUUGGUUCGGCACGUGAGGCCCGACGCUUCCGCAUCCGGCUGGAGUCUCGCCGGCGGAGUGUCCGGGCGGUGGAUUGG
RNAcentral lists this small RNA (194 nucleotides) under Sinorhizobium meliloti 2011. RNAcentral describes it as "putative ncRNA". Lineage: Bacteria; Pseudomonadati; Pseudomonadota; Alphaproteobacteria; Hyphomicrobiales; Rhizobiaceae. The record is from RNAcentral.